Molecule: ribosomal RNA, 253 nt
Filed under: uncultured bacterium
Lineage: Bacteria
Description: partial 16S ribosomal RNA
Rfam family: Bacterial small subunit ribosomal RNA
Source: RNAcentral
GACGAAGGAUGCAAGCGUUAUCCGGAUUCAUUGGGUUUAAAGGGAGCGUAGGCGGGCUUAUAAGUCAGUGGUGAAAUCUCCUUGCUUAACAAGGAAACUGCCAUUGAUACUGUAGGUCUAGAGUACAUUUGCUGUGGGCGGAAUAUGACAUGUAGUGGUGAAAUACUUAGAUAUGUCAUAGAACACCGAUUGCGAAGGCAGCUCACAAAAAUGUAACUGACGCUGAGGCUCGAAAGUGCGGGGAUCAAACAGG